This 381-nucleotide unclassified non-coding RNA is filed under the name soil metagenome. Its description in RNAcentral is "partial contains 5.8S ribosomal RNA, internal transcribed spacer 2, and large subunit ribosomal RNA". The stretch from base 1 to 120 matches the Rfam family "5.8S ribosomal RNA", at positions 35 to 154 of the family's 154-position model. The record is from RNAcentral.
GAUGAAGAACGUAGCGAAAUGCGAUAAGUAAUGUGAAUUGCAGAAUUCAGUGAAUCAUCGAAUCUUUGAACGCACCUUGCGCUCCUUGGUAUUCCGAGGAGCAUGCCUGUUUGAGUGUCAUUAAUAUAUCAACCUCUUCAGCUUAUGCUUGUUGAGUGUUGGAUGGUGGGGGUUUGCUGGUGUCUUAUGAAGUCAGCUCCUCUGAAAUGCAUUAGCGGAACAAUUUGUUGACCGUUCAUUGGUGUGAUAAAAAUAUCUACGCUAUUGACGUCAGUCAGUUCAGCUUCUAACAGUCCAUUGACUUGGACAAAUUUUUCAUUAAUGUUACCUCAAAUCAGGUAGGACUACCCGCUGAACUUAAGCAUAUCAAUAAGCGGAGUA